GUGAAAUACAACAUGAUUAGGCCACUUGGUUCUAUAGAUAAGCUUUCUUCUUUGCAUCAAAUGAAGACGAGAGGCAGUGUUGUGUACAGGUAACACCCAACGAGAUAGAACGAGUUGGAGAUGCAUGGGAGGAGUAGGCAAUCCUAAUCUCUCAGAGAUAAACUCAAGGUCUAAUAAUCAUAGAGGUUAAGAGUGUAGCAAAUGAUAAGGAUUGAUGGAAGGAAGAUUAAGACUCUUUCCAAUGACAAAUAGUGAAUAGGGAGGGCUUGUGUUGAGAACAUGGGGAUGUUAUUAAAUAUUGUCAAGGGGAUGCUAAAAGGUGAUGUAAAGGGAGAGUCUAGUGCAAAGAAAAUGCAGCAAGAGACAGUGAUCAUUGAAAAUUAAGCCACAAGGAUCCAUCAUAAGAGAGGCAUUUAUAGUGAAAGUGGCAAAAUACUAGAUGGGUAAGUUUUGUAAACACAAGUAAGAUCAACAUCCAAUGAAGACAUGCAGAUUGCAUUAAAGCCUGUUAGGAAAGGUUCAGCGAUAUGAGUUCACUAUUAAUACGCCCCACUAUGAGCUUACCAGGCUGUGUCUCCUAAUCAUCAUCCCGUAAUCAAUUAUUAUUUUAUAGACCUCGCCACUAGUCCUUCAUCCAUGUGAACAUAAAUAAACAUAAUUAUCCAAUUUAAUGAAAAAUAUAUAAAUUUUUAAUGCAUCUACAAU
RNAcentral lists this unclassified non-coding RNA (705 nucleotides) under Hevea brasiliensis (rubber tree). Lineage: Eukaryota; Viridiplantae; Streptophyta; Magnoliopsida; Malpighiales; Euphorbiaceae. The record is from RNAcentral.